GAUGAACGCUGGCGGCGUGCCUAAUACAUGCAAGUCGAGCGAACGGACGAGAAGCUUGCUUCUCUGAUGUUAGCGGCGGACGGGUGAGUAACACGUGGAUAACCUACCUAUAAGACUGGGAUAACUUCGGGAAACCGGAGCUAAUACCGGAUGAUAUUUUGAACCGCAUGGUUCAAAAGUGAAAGACGGUCUUGCUGUCACUUAUAGAUGGAUCCGCGCUGCAUUAGCUAGUUGGUAAGGUAACGGAUUACCAAGGCAACGAUGCAUAGCCGACCUGAGAGGGUGAUCGGCCACACUGGAACUGAGACACGGUCCAGACGCCUACGGGAGGCAGCAGUAGGGAAUCUUCCGCAAUGGGCGAAAGCCUGACGGAGCAACGCCGCGUGAGUGAUGAAGGUCUUCGGAUCGUAAAACUCUGUUAUUAGGGAAGAACAUAUGUGUAAGUAACUGUGCACAUCUUGACGGUACCUAAUCAGAAAGCCACGGCUAACUACGUG
This 497-nucleotide ribosomal RNA is filed under the name uncultured bacterium. RNAcentral's name for it is "partial 16S ribosomal RNA". It matches the Rfam family "Bacterial small subunit ribosomal RNA", at positions 28 to 507 of the family's 1533-position model. The record is from RNAcentral.